UGGGGGGGGGGGUGCUAUACAUGCAAGUCGAGCGAACUGAUUAGAAGCUUGCUUCUAUGACGUUAGCGGCGGACGGGUGAGUAACACGUGGGCAACCUGCCUGUAAGACUGGGAUAACUUCGGGAAACCGAAGCUAAUACCGGAUAGGAUCUUCUCCUUCAUGGGAGAUGAUUGAAAGAUGGUUUCGGCUAUCACUUACAGAUGGGCCCGCGGUGCAUUAGCUAGUUGGUGAGGUAACGGCUCACCAAGGCAACGAUGCAUAGCCGACCUGAGAGGGUGAUCGGCCACACUGGGACUGAGACACGGCCCAGACUCCUACGGGAGGCAGCAGUAGGGAAUCUUCCGCAAUGGACGAAAGUCUGACGGAGCAACGCCGCGUGAGUGAUGAAGGCUUUCGGGUCGUAAAACUCUGUUGUUAGGGAAGAACAAGUACAAGAGUAACUGCUUGUACCUUGACGGUACCUAACCAGAAAGCCACGGCUAACUACGUGCCAGCAGCCGCGGUAAU
RNAcentral lists this ribosomal RNA (508 nucleotides) under Priestia megaterium. Its description in RNAcentral is "bacterial SSU rRNA". It matches the Rfam family "Bacterial small subunit ribosomal RNA", at positions 38 to 524 of the family's 1533-position model. The record is from RNAcentral. Lineage: Bacteria; Bacillati; Bacillota; Bacilli; Caryophanales; Bacillaceae.